This 433-nucleotide ribosomal RNA is filed under the name uncultured bacterium. RNAcentral's name for it is "partial 16S ribosomal RNA". It matches the Rfam family "Bacterial small subunit ribosomal RNA", at positions 29 to 507 of the family's 1533-position model. The record is from RNAcentral.
AACGAACGCUGGCGGCAGGCCUAACACAUGCAAGUCGAGCGAGGACUUCGGUUCUAGCGGCGGACGGGUGCGUAACGCGUGGGAAUGUGCCCUUCUCUACGGAAUAGCCCUGGGAAACUGGGAGUAAUACCGUAUACGCCCUAUUGGGGAAAGAUUUAUCGGAGAAGGAUCAGCCCGCGUUGGAUUAGGUAGUUGGUGGGGUAAUGGCCUACCAAGCCGACGAUCCAUAGCUGGUUUGAGAGGAUGAUCAGCCACACUGGGACUGAGACACGGCCCAGACUCCUACGGGAGGCAGCAGUGGGGAAUCUUAGACAAUGGGGGCAACCCUGAUCUAGCCAUGCCGCGUGAGUGAUGAAGGCCUUAGGGUUGUAAAGCUAUUUCAGCUGGGAAGAUAAUGACGGUACCAGCAGAAGAAGCCCCGGCUAACUCCGUG